RNAcentral lists this long non-coding RNA (456 nucleotides) under Salvia miltiorrhiza (redroot sage). Its description in RNAcentral is "long non-coding RNA (SMIL_LNC001328)". The record is from RNAcentral. Lineage: Eukaryota; Viridiplantae; Streptophyta; Magnoliopsida; Lamiales; Lamiaceae.
AAAUAUUAAAGAUUUGAUAGAAAAUGAAAAUUUUAAAGAUCAUGAGGAAAAAUAAAUUUCAGGCAAAGUUCGUGAUAUUAUAUGCAAUUAAUCCUUUUUUUUAUGACGGUGAGAUUUCGAACUAUGACAUUUUUGUUUGAAUAAUCAAAUCAAAUGUCUAAAUUCUAAUGUAUGCCAGUAUGUGAGCAUACAUAAUUUUUUUUUUUUGUACUUGGGGGAGUUGGGGAGGGGGAGCAGUGGGGUUUGAACUCAGGACCUCACUGUUCACACACAGGAGGUCGCACUGUUGGUGUCCUUGGAUACAGCAUACAUAAAUAUUUAGGGCGUGUUUGAUAUUGGUUAAUACACUGUAUUAACUAAUUUAGUACAGAUCAGUCUAGUGUUUGGUAUUAUUUAGUAAUAAUGCGGAUGACCCGGUUUAAUCUCACGACCCUGUAUUAUUAAUCCAGAUUUCUU